Molecule: ribosomal RNA, 550 nt
Filed under: Lodderomyces parapsilosis
Lineage: Eukaryota; Fungi; Ascomycota; Pichiomycetes; Serinales; Debaryomycetaceae
Description: Candida parapsilosis partial large subunit ribosomal RNA
Rfam family: Eukaryotic large subunit ribosomal RNA
Source: RNAcentral
GAGUGAAGCGGCAAAGCUCAAAUUUGAAAUCUGGCACUUUCAGUGUCCGAGUUGUAAUUUGAAGAAGGUAUCUUUGGGUCUGGCUCUUGUCUAUGUUUCUUGGAACAGAACGUCACAGAGGGUGAGAAUCCCGUGCGAUGAGAUGUCCCAGACCUAUGUAAAGUUCCUUCGAAGAGUCGAGUUGUUUGGGAAUGCAGCUCUAAGUGGGUGGUAAAUUCCAUCUAAAGCUAAAUAUUGGCGAGAGACCGAUAGCGAACAAGUACAGUGAUGGAAAGAUGAAAAGAACUUUGAAAAGAGAGUGAAAAAGUACGUGAAAUUGUUGAAAGGGAAGGGCUUGAGAUCAGACUUGGUAUUUUGUAUGUUACUCUCUCGGGGGUGGCCUCUACAGUUUACCGGGCCAGCAUCAGUUUGAGCGGUAGGAUAAGUGCAAAGAAAUGUGGCACUGCUUCGGUAGUGUGUUAUAGUCUUUGUCGAUACUGCCAGCUUAGACUGAGGACUGCGGCUUCGGCCUAGGAUGUUGGCAUAAUGAUCUUAAGUCGCCCGUCUUGAA